GUGGCGCACGGGUGAGGAACAGGUGGGUGACGUGCCCCAGAGUGGGGGAUAGCCCGUGCGAAGGACGUAUUAAUCCCGGAUACGCUACUACGGAGGAAAGCUUCUACGGGCGGUCUGGGAGGAGCCUGCGGCAUCAUGGUUGUUGGUGUGGUAACGCCGCACCAAGCCACUGAUGGGUACCCGGUCUGAGAGGAGCGGCCGGGCAGACUGAGACUGCGACACGGCCCAUGACUCCUACGGGAGGCAGCAGCAAGGAUAUUUUCCCCAAUGGGUCGCAAGCUGUGGGGGAGCAACGCCGCGUGGACGGACGACGGCCUUCGGGUUGUAAACUCCUUUCGGGUGGGACGACCACGACGGUACCACCAGAAGCAGGCCCGGCUAACUCUGUGCCAGCAGCCGCGGUAAGACAGAGGGGGCAAGCGUUGUCCGGAGUUACUGGGCGUAAAGGGCGCGGAGGCGAUCUGCGCGUCGCGCUGAAAGCGCCACGCUUAACGGGCGAGCGUGCCGAUACGCGCAGACUUGGGGCGAGCAGAGGAUGGUAGAAAUUCCGGGUGGAGCGGUGAAAUGCGUAGAGAUCCGGAGGAACGCCAGUGGGGAAGCCGACAACCUGGGCUCGUCCUGACGCUUGGCGCGACAGCGUGGGGAGCAAACCGGAUUAGAUACCCGGGUAGUCCACGCCCGUAAACGAUGCCAGCUCGGCAUGUGCGCACGGUCGUGCGCUGCGUGCCUUAGCUCACGCGAUAAGCUGGCCGCCUGGGGACUACGAGCGCAAGCUUAAAACUGAAAGGAGAUUGACGGGGGCCCGCACAAGACAGCGGAGCCGUGUGGUAUUAAUUCGACGCAACACGAAGAACCUUACCUGGGCUAUGACAUGACGCUGCGACGCCGUCGAAAGACGGCCGCCUACGAGGGCCCGUCAAGGGC
This 924-nucleotide ribosomal RNA is filed under the name uncultured Chloroflexota bacterium. RNAcentral describes it as "bacterial SSU rRNA". It matches the Rfam family "Bacterial small subunit ribosomal RNA", at positions 95 to 1039 of the family's 1533-position model. The record is from RNAcentral. Lineage: Bacteria; Bacillati; Chloroflexota.